RNAcentral lists this ribosomal RNA (251 nucleotides) under uncultured bacterium. RNAcentral's name for it is "partial 16S ribosomal RNA". It matches the Rfam family "Bacterial small subunit ribosomal RNA", at positions 525 to 775 of the family's 1533-position model. The record is from RNAcentral.
ACGUAGGUCACAAGCGUUGUCCGGAAUUACUGGGUGUAAAGGGAGCGCAGGCGGGAGAACAAGUUGGAAGUGAAAUCCAUGGGCUCAACCCAUGAACUGCUUUCAAAACUGUUUUUCUUGAGUAGUGCAGAGGUAGGCGGAAUUCCCGGUGUAGCGGUGGAAUGCGUAGAUAUCGGGAGGAACACCAGUGGCGAAGGCGGCCUACUGGGCACUAACUGACGCUGAGGCUCGAAAGUGUGGGUAGCAAACAG